RNAcentral lists this long non-coding RNA (417 nucleotides) under Prunus dulcis (almond). RNAcentral's name for it is "sRNA ncRNA". Lineage: Eukaryota; Viridiplantae; Streptophyta; Magnoliopsida; Rosales; Rosaceae. The record is from RNAcentral.
CUGGGAUAUGUGCGAUAAUUCAGAGCUGCACGUAAAGUAGAUGAGACACAGCAUUUAACGAGGUUCGGCUAUGCUUACGUCCUCGGAGAGCAGCAGCAGUAACUUUUUCACUAAAUAAAAUAAUAGGGCUACAACUUUAGAGUUUACAAUAUGUAAGGCUCACUGAAGUUUCUCUUUGCUCACUCACCCUAUUUCUUCCUUCUCUUCCUCUUCUUUGCCUGACUCUCUUUCCUCUUUUCUUUUUCCUCUUCUCUCUUUCCUCUUAUCUUUCCUCCUUUCCCUUUCCUCUUCUCUCUUUCCUCCUUUCUCUUUCUUUCUUUCCGUUUCUCCCUUUCUCUUCUAUCUUCUCUUCUUUUUCACUUUGCAGGUUGCCUAUUUAUAGGCAGAUUGGUGCAACCCUCGUGAGUGUGCAGUAAG